AAUUAAAUAAAUGUGAAGAUGAAUAUUAAUUAAAUAAAUGUGAACGUUAAUUAACUGAGAAUAAUUGAAGGGUGAUGCUACAUGUAUGUUAGGAUGUCCAUAACGGUGUUCACCCACUCACAUGGAAGGGACCCACUUCGAAUAAAAUAUAAUUUGUUCAAAAUGGGUCCCCCUUCAUAUAAAGGGGGUGGACACCAUUAUGGACACAUAUUGUAUAUAAGUAGUAUAUUCUAAAAUUGAAUUAUAAUAAGACUAGAAUCAUCCAAAAAAUGAUUAUGAUUUGAUGUGAUAUUUAGUGUCUGUUUGACAAUCUUUAAUUUAUUAUAUAGUUUGCUAUUGGAUCAUUUUCAACCACACAUUCACACAAUAAAAUAUUAUACACGUAUACCAAAAUUUUUGCCUACUUUUGACCAUACAUUUCCCCAAAAUCACUAUUCGAAACUCUUUCUUUCAACACUAAUUGUUGUCAAACAGGCUCUUAAUAAAUUAUGAAUAAGCAUUGGAUAUCUUUGUUCUGCUCGGGUGCAAUUUGUUGGAGUUUUGCAUAAGAGGAAACAAAACAAGUUUUAAGAUUUUCAGCUUGUCAAUUUGUGGAGUCCGCUUGAGUUCAGCUUGUCAAUAUAAAGUUAGUAUAUUAAAAUGAAACAUGAACCUUAGUGUUUGAGAAUUAGAAACCCAAUUCAACCUAAUUUUAUACCACCAGAGCUCGCAGAAAUGAAUAAAGACACACAAGAUUUAUAGAGGGUUACCUCACAAAUAUGAGAUUACAUCAUCUUUCGCCACUGCAAUAAUCCACUAACAUGAAAAGAAGUUUACAAUAGAAAAUCCCACACACUAUCUUAUCUAACCUUUCUGUCCCUUUUUUAUGGUAAUACAAAAAUAUAAUGACGACUCCCUAUUUAUAAGAUAAAUUAUGGAAAAAUCAUUAUUUACAAGGACACAAAAUCAAUCCUCAUGUAGGCUCUGCACAGCAGCAAUAAUUAGGUUCCACUACUUAACACUUAGAGUGUGUUUGAUUGACAUGAAAAAUAUUAUCUAGAAAAGAAAAUAUUUUCCAUCUUUUGUGGAAAAUAAAAAUCACCUCUACCCAAAGAAAAUGUUUUCCUUAAAAACAAGGAAAAUUAGGCAUAUUUUCAAAAGUUGGAAAACGUUUUCCAUGAAAAAAAUAGCAAUCAAACACUUUAAGUAGGAAUUUGGGUGAAAAACUGAUAUUUUUCAUGAAAAAUAAAUGUAAUCAAACACACCCUUAACUCUUUUUCAGAACUAUUGAUUUGAAUAAUCAGUAAGCAGGCUUGUUUACUAUAUGAAGCUGAGUUUUUCGUUGCAUAUUUUACUUUCCCAAGUAUGUCUGCAAGAAAAGAAAGACAAGGUUCAUUUGAAACCAGUGCAUUCAUUUUGUACUAAUAAAUAAAUAAAGAACUGGACUCGGCUUGGAAAAUGGGCUUUAUUCAUCAAAUUAUAUAGCAUUAUUUUUCUGCAUCUACCUGUUCACUCUUUGAUAUCAAUGAUAUAGCACAUGGCGUAACCAUUUAGAUUACAAUGAUUGUAUGUUCUGCACUCUGGUCACCUCGAAGCCUAAGAAAUGGUUCAGUUAUACAUAAGCAUACAUGUUCUAAUUACAUACGUGUAUAUGCAUGUGUACAAGAAAACUUUAAACAUAAGUUUGGGAGGUAUGAAUCAGAAUCAAGCUUAAAACUUUCUAGGAUAGGAUUCAUAAUUUUUACCAAAAUGUUCCCACAUGGGCAAGGCACUAAAGAUCUCUGUAGUGCUUAACAUGAUAGUACAAUAUAAGGUGAAAAGAAGCAUACACCUCUAGUGUCAUUCAAUUGAGAGACUUGUUAACCUUUUUAACACUUAAUAUUUACAUUUAGCUUUUUAAAUUUUCCACAAACAUGAUGCAUGUAUCAUUAGAAUAAGAGAUCAAGAUGGUGAUGAAAGUAGAAAAUCUAUCGCUUGCAAUGGAUAAUUAAUAUGUUUUUUGUUCAAAUCAAAUGUUAUUGCAAAAGGAUGGACUAGGUGUCUAAUUCUAUGUUUUCAUUCUACUAACCGUGAGUUAUGAAACUUCCAAACAAUUGGCUCAACUAUAUUUCAUCAUCAUCAGUUGAAGUUGGGGCACGUAGGAACAUAUAAUGUUGUUAUACUGUUCUUAUGCUGUUGUGCAAGAGAUCAGACGUGCAAAUUUAUGAACUUUUUAAAAGAUCAAAGUGACGAGUGUCUUUCAUGUACAGAAACAGAUGAAUCUAAGAUAAUCAUCUUAACAAAGAUAUGAUGUUCUACACACAUACCUAACCUUUUGCUAGAAUUGGUUAAGUAUAUAACCAUGGUAACGUGGUUUUCUAUCAAUUUAGGCCAAAUAAUCGAACUUGAUCCGAUGGUCAAAUUAUGGAAAUAAAUAAACUAACUUUUUCUACUCGUCGAGUAGAUUGAUGUGGUAUAUUAUUUGGAAUCUCAAAAUCAGUUUCGGAUGAAUGAGAAAUAUAGUCCAAGGUUGGAAUGAAAAAAGGAAAACUGGCCGGGUAUUAGCCCAACUCCAUCGCUCGCCUAUCACUCGAGCGGUGAGCAGGCAAUAAGAUUGUUGCUUGAGCAACAAACGAGCGAUAGCCUUUCUAUUUUCGACGCUCGAGCGACGGACGAGUGACAAGAAAGGCUGCGAACUUGGCAAAGAUUGCUGAGUUUUGAAGCGUGUCUCUUCAUUCACAAUCUCUUCCCCUCUAUAGAUUAGACCCUUGGGACGUCCUUUACUUUAUCCCAAUGAUAUGCAAUCAUAGUAUAACAUAAACAUUCAUAUUUCCUUAACCAAAAUUCUACAUAAAAAAUCUAUUUUCAUUUCGUUUCAUUUAAAAGGAGUAUAAAAGCCACAUUUUGAUUAGCUUUUCUUGUGUUUUGAUAUGAUAUAAACACAAGAAGUUAGUCAUUGUAUCUUGGGGGUUGAUUGCUAUCAUUCAUAGGCACUGUUGCAAGACAAAAUCGACUUAAGGAUAAAGAGUUCAAUUCUUACCUCGACUUUGCAUUCAUUUCUUUGGUGUUACUUUGUCCAAUUUCAUUGGCAUUUUAAUAUAAUUUUUGUGGUGUUUAUUUUUCCAUUUUUUGUCGUUACUUUGUCCAAAUUUUGAUAAGGUUGGUGAGUUUGAUUUUAAAGUCAUCACUCAGAUCCCUUUUCAAACCACACCUUUCACAUUUUAGUGUGUGUACCAUUGCUAAGAAGGGUCCAUCACCCAAUGGAGUUAUUUGACGCAUACCAAUUGACAUGCGUAGAACUACUCCUGUAUGCGUUGAAGUUAGGGAACUCCCUAUUGUUAUCAAUCACCCUUGAAAAUUUGAACAAACAUUAUAUUCAGAAAAACAUUGAAGCCAUUUUGCUAUAUAUUGCUAUAUAUAACACCUUAGUAACUUUAAGAAAUUAUACAUAAUUGUGAUUUAGUUGUCCAAAUUCUAUUGAAUCAAGCUUAUGCAGGUUUCUAUUCAAUUAUACUUUCUUUACAUCCCUUCUCAAAAUUGGAUUAGAUAUGUGUGAGUAUGUGUGUGUUAGUAUACAAAUAACUUCAUGAUAUCCAAUGUCAGAUUGAAAGAUUAUCAUUAACGUGCAUCUCUUAAUCAAAUUUAUGCUGAUCUCUGUAAUUGAUGGUUUUCUUGACAUUGGCAGGACUUGAAUCGAGUAAGAAUUGAAGUUACUCAAUAAAAGCAUCCCGGGGUGUCAUGAACUCAGUUGGGAAGAUGCAUCUCGUGACUGCCGAGAAGUUAAGACCUUUGUUUCUGUAUGCACAUUAUUCGGAUAAAUAAGUGCAAUAAAAAGUAUUGUUCCACAAGUUUAUAUCAGUAAUAGAAUGUUCAUUACUUCUCGAUGUCUAAUUAUGUAGUUUUAUUGUACGCCUGGUAAUUUUAAGAAUUGUUGCUUAUUCAUUUUGUUCUAUAGUGAGUUCAUAUCUUGCCAAUAGGGAGAAAAAUUUAAGCAUGGAUGCAAGUGAUUCCCGUUUUGGAUUGUUCCACAAUUCCUAGAUCAUGUUGGAUGAAAUGAUGCGGUUGACAACACUAUGAAAAGCUAAUAAAUAGCUCACGUGCAAAUUCUCGACUCCAUGUACACUGUGUGAGGACUUCAAACAUGUUUGAUAUUUUAGAU
Molecule: long non-coding RNA, 4117 nt
Filed under: Olea europaea subsp. europaea
Lineage: Eukaryota; Viridiplantae; Streptophyta; Magnoliopsida; Lamiales; Oleaceae
Source: RNAcentral